GUUUCCCCUCCAGGUCUUAUAGAACUCAAUGGUACUAUUAGAUCUGUGGCAACGACGUAGUUUAAUAAAGAUUCAUCAUUCAUUAUAUAUAUAAAUAAUAAAGCUUCGGCUUUCAGCUUAAUCAAAUACUUCAUGUAAUUUACUUAUAGAAAUAUGAAUAUGGCGGAGACAAGCAAUUUGUGCGAUUAUUAUAACACACUUCGAACUUGUUUGAUUUGUCUAACAAAUUGCGAUUUAUUACGGGUCAUUGAUAAAGAAUAUUAAAUUUAGAAGUUGCAGAUCGUGAUGGAUCUUUGAAAAAGGAAAGUAAAUUUACUGUUACAUGAAUUUUUCAACCACGUCAUGCGACGUAUUUGACGUAGUCUGGAUCCGCCCCUGGAGGAGAACUUAGCACAACGUAUCGGGGUGGAUAUCUAUCGUAACAUCAACGUGGAAAAUUUCAUCCCUGUUACUGCCAAGGACAACAAUCCGGAUUUAAUUGCAAGAAGUUGGAUUGGCUGGAUUUGAACAGGACGUUCUAUACGAGAAGGGAUUACGUUGGUUUUAUUCAGUUAUUUUGGGGAUGAUUGACGUAUUAUCAGUGUACCGUAUGUCAAGAAGCAUCCUAUGGUGAUACAGGUGAGCCAUCACCCUCAGAUUAAGCUCUAGGAUAUGUUUGCUACAAUGACGGAAUCGUUGUAACAAAGUCUUCUGUUCUUACUUCAUAUGCUUCAUCUUGUUUUAUACAGUUUUCCAAAAUGACUCAACUGUAAAUAUUGUAAAACAAGCACGAUUAAAAAGCGUGUAUAUAAA
Long non-coding RNA from Xenia sp. Carnegie-2017, 792 nucleotides. RefSeq lists it as uncharacterized. The record is from RefSeq and is a predicted model, not a curated record. The transcript is spliced from 2 exons. Lineage: Eukaryota; Metazoa; Cnidaria; Anthozoa; Malacalcyonacea; Xeniidae.